This 117-nucleotide non-coding RNA is filed under the name Chlorocebus sabaeus (green monkey). Lineage: Eukaryota; Metazoa; Chordata; Mammalia; Primates; Cercopithecidae. The record is from Rfam by way of RNAcentral.
GCCGGGCGUGGUGGCUCAUGCCUGUAAUCCCAGCACUUUGGGAGGCCGAGGCGGGUGGAUCACCUGAGGUCAGGAGUUUGAGACCACCCUGGCCAACAUGGUGAAACCCCGUCUCUA